RNAcentral lists this transfer RNA (72 nucleotides) under Cordylochernes scorpioides. RNAcentral's name for it is "tRNA-Gly". The record is from RNAcentral. Lineage: Eukaryota; Metazoa; Arthropoda; Arachnida; Pseudoscorpiones; Chernetidae.
GACAGUCGGCCGGGAAUCGAACCCGGGCCGCCCGGGUGGCAGGCGAGCAUUCUACCACUGAACCACCAUUGC